This 399-nucleotide long non-coding RNA is filed under the name Bos taurus (domestic cattle). RNAcentral's name for it is "long non-coding RNA NONBTAT024938". Lineage: Eukaryota; Metazoa; Chordata; Mammalia; Artiodactyla; Bovidae. The record is from RNAcentral.
GUUUUAUACGUGUGGAAGUGAAAGUAAUUCACACGUAUUUGAAUCGAGUGUGAUACUGGAGCAGAGUAUCAAAACACAUUCAUGGUAGUUGGUCAGUACUCCUGUUAAAAGAUACACCCCAGCCCAUCAUAGUAAUAAAAUGGUUGCAAUAUAUCCCAAGUUUGUUGAUAUGCCAUUUUAAGUCAAAGAUUAACAUAUUGCUUUUGUAUUAUUUUAAAAGAUGUAGCAUAAAAGUAUAGCAUAGUAGAUAGGCAGAAUCAGUUUCUCCUCAAAGGAAACUAGUCCUUUCAAGAGCUCAGCCCAAAUAUCUGACACAUACAAAGAUGCAGGAGGAAAAAGUUCACCAUACUUGUUAAUAUAGCAAAAGAUCUGAGGUGGAUUAUUUAUUUCUGUGAGUGA